GGAAUAUUGGGCAAUGGGCGCAAGCCUGACCCAGCCAUGCCGCGUGUGUGAAGAAGGCUCUAGGGUUGUAAAGCACUUUAAGUGGGGAGGAAAGGGUAAUCGUUAAUAUCGGUUAUCUGUGACGUUACCCACAGAAUAAGCACCGGCUAACUCCGUGCCAGCAGCCGCGGUAAUACGGAGGGUGCAAGCGUUAAUCGGACGUACUGGGCGUAAAGCGCGCGUAGGCGGUUUGUUAAGCGAGAUGUGAAAGCCCUGGGCUCAACCUGGGAACUGCAUUUCGAACUGGCAGGCUAGAGUACAAGAGAGGGUGGUGGAAUUUCCAGUGUAGCGGUGAAAUGCGUAGAGAUUGGAAGGAACAUCAGUGGCGAAGGCGGCCACCUGGAUUGAUACUGACGCUGAGGUGCGAAAGCGUGGGGAGCG
This 420-nucleotide ribosomal RNA is filed under the name uncultured bacterium. Its description in RNAcentral is "bacterial SSU rRNA". It matches the Rfam family "Bacterial small subunit ribosomal RNA", at positions 358 to 770 of the family's 1533-position model. The record is from RNAcentral.